RNAcentral lists this ribosomal RNA (2741 nucleotides) under Escherichia coli KTE37. RNAcentral's name for it is "bacterial LSU rRNA". It matches the Rfam family "Bacterial large subunit ribosomal RNA". The record is from RNAcentral. Lineage: Bacteria; Pseudomonadati; Pseudomonadota; Gammaproteobacteria; Enterobacterales; Enterobacteriaceae.
UAGGUUAAUGAGGCGAACCGGGGGAACUGAAACAUCUAAGUACCCCGAGGAAAAGAAAUCAACCGAGAUUCCCCCAGUAGCGGCGAGCGAACGGGGAGCAGCCCAGAGCCUGAAUCAGUGUGUGUGUUAGUGGAAGCGUCUGGAAAGGCGCGCGAUACAGGGUGACAGCCCCGUACACAAAAAUGCACAUGCUGUGAGCUCGAUGAGUAGGGCGGGACACGUGGUAUCCUGUCUGAAUAUGGGGGGACCAUCCUCCAAGGCUAAAUACUCCUGACUGACCGAUAGUGAACCAGUACCGUGAGGGAAAGGCGAAAAGAACCCCGGCGAGGGGAGUGAAAAAGAACCUGAAACCGUGUACGUACAAGCAGUGGGAGCCUCUUUUAUGGGGUGACUGCGUACCUUUUGUAUAAUGGGUCAGCGACUUAUAUUCUGUAGCAAGGUUAACCGAAUAGGGGAGCCGAAGGGAAACCGAGUCUUAACUGGGCGUUAAGUUGCAGGGUAUAGACCCGAAACCCGGUGAUCUAGCCAUGGGCAGGUUGAAGGUUGGGUAACACUAACUGGAGGACCGAACCGACUAAUGUUGAAAAAUUAGCGGAUGACUUGUGGCUGGGGGUGAAAGGCCAAUCAAACCGGGAGAUAGCUGGUUCUCCCCGAAAGCUAUUUAGGUAGCGCCUCGUGAAUUCAUCUCCGGGGGUAGAGCACUGUUUCGGCAAGGGGGUCAUCCCGACUUACCAACCCGAUGCAAACUGCGAAUACCGGAGAAUGUUAUCACGGGAGACACACGGCGGGUGCUAACGUCCGUCGUGAAGAGGGAAACAACCCAGACCGCCAGCUAAGGUCCCAAAGUCAUGGUUAAGUGGGAAACGAUGUGGGAAGGCCCAGACAGCCAGGAUGUUGGCUUAGAAGCAGCCAUCAUUUAAAGAAAGCGUAAUAGCUCACUGGUCGAGUCGGCCUGCGCGGAAGAUGUAACGGGGCUAAACCAUGCACCGAAGCUGCGGCAGCGACGCUUAUGCGUUGUUGGGUAGGGGAGCGUUCUGUAAGCCUGCGAAGGUGUGCUGUGAGGUAUGCUGGAGGUAUCAGAAGUGCGAAUGCUGACAUAAGUAACGAUAAAGCGGGUGAAAAGCCCGCUCGCCGGAAGACCAAGGGUUCCUGUCCAACGUUAAUCGGGGCAGGGUGAGUCGACCCCUAAGGCGAGGCCGAAAGGCGUAGUCGAUGGGAAACAGGUUAAUAUUCCUGUACUUGGUGUUACUGCGAAGGGGGGACGGAGAAGGCUAUGUUGGCCGGGCGACGGUUGUCCCGGUUUAAGCGUGUAGGCUGGUUUUCCAGGCAAAUCCGGAAAAUCAAGGCUGAGGCGUGAUGACGAGGCACUACGGUGCUGAAGCAACAAAUGCCCUGCUUCCAGGAAAAGCCUCUAAGCAUCAGGUAACAUCAAAUCGUACCCCAAACCGACACAGGUGGUCAGGUAGAGAAUACCAAGGCGCUUGAGAGAACUCGGGUGAAGGAACUAGGCAAAAUGGUGCCGUAACUUCGGGAGAAGGCACGCUGAUAUGUAGGUGAAGCGACUUGCUCGUGGAGCUGAAAUCAGUCGAAGAUACCAGCUGGCUGCAACUGUUUAUUAAAAACACAGCACUGUGCAAACACGAAAGUGGACGUAUACGGUGUGACGCCUGCCCGGUGCCGGAAGGUUAAUUGAUGGGGUUAGCGGUAACGCGAAGCUCUUGAUCGAAGCCCCGGUAAACGGCGGCCGUAACUAUAACGGUCCUAAGGUAGCGAAAUUCCUUGUCGGGUAAGUUCCGACCUGCACGAAUGGCGUAAUGAUGGCCAGGCUGUCUCCACCCGAGACUCAGUGAAAUUGAACUCGCUGUGAAGAUGCAGUGUACCCGCGGCAAGACGGAAAGACCCCGUGAACCUUUACUAUAGCUUGACACUGAACAUUGAGCCUUGAUGUGUAGGAUAGGUGGGAGGCUUUGAAGUGUGGACGCCAGUCUGCAUGGAGCCGGCCUUGAAAUACCACCCUUUAAUGUUUGAUGUUCUAACGUUGGCCCCUGAUCGGGGUUGCGGACAGUGUCUGGUGGGUAGUUUGACUGGGGCGGUCUCCUCCUAAAGAGUAACGGAGGAGCACGAAGGUUGGCUAAUCCUGGUCGGACAUCAGGAGGUUAGUGCAAUGGCAUAAGCCAGCUUGACUGCGAGCGUGACGGCGCGAGCAGGUGCGAAAGCAGGUCAUAGUGAUCCGGUGGUUCUGAAUGGAAGGGCCAUCGCUCAACGGAUAAAAGGUACUCCGGGGAUAACAGGCUGAUACCGCCCAAGAGUUCAUAUCGACGGCGGUGUUUGGCACCUCGAUGUCGGCUCAUCACAUCCUGGGGCUGAAGUAGGUCCCAAGGGUAUGGCUGUUCGCCAUUUAAAGUGGUACGCGAGCUGGGUUUAGAACGUCGUGAGACAGUUCGGUCCCUAUCUGCCGUGGGCGCUGGAGAACUGAGGGGGGCUGCUCCUAGUACGAGAGGACCGGAGUGGACGCAUCACUGGUGUUCGGGUUGUCAUGCCAAUGGCACUGCCCGGUAGCUAAAUGCGGAAGAGAUAAGUGCUGAAAGCAUCUAAGCACGAAACUUGCCCCGAGAUGAGUUCUCCCUGAGACUUAGAGUCUCCUGAAGGAACGUUGAAGACGACGACGUUGAUAGGCCGGGUGUGUAAGCGCAGCGAUGCGUUGAGCUAACCGGUACUAAUGAACCGUGAGGCUUAACCUU